UGGGGAAUAUUGGACAAUGGGGGCAACCCUGAUCCAGCGAUGCCGCGUGUGCGAAGAAGGCCUGCGGGUUGUAAAGCACUUUGGUUGGGGAAGAAGGUUGGGCGUUGAAUAGAUGCCUGAAUUGACGUUACCCAAAGAACAAGCACCGGCUAACUCUGUGCCAGCAGCCGCGGUAAUACGAAGGGUGCUAGCGUUGUUCGGAAUCACUGGGCGUAAAGCGCGCGUAGGCGGCUUAACAAGUCAGAGGUGAAAGCCUGGAGCUCAACUCCAGAACUGCCUUUGAAACUGUUAAGCUUGAGUGUCGGAGGGGAUAGCGGAAUUUCUAAUGUAGAGGUGAAAUUCGUAGAUAUUAGAAGGAACACCGGUGGCGAAGGCGGCUAUCUGGACGACAACUGACGCUGAGGCGCGAAAGCGUGGGGAUCAAACAGGAUUAGAUACCCAUGUAGUCCCUGAGCGGGCUGGCAAGGCGCAU
This 472-nucleotide ribosomal RNA is filed under the name uncultured bacterium. RNAcentral describes it as "bacterial SSU rRNA". It matches the Rfam family "Bacterial small subunit ribosomal RNA", at positions 355 to 825 of the family's 1533-position model. The record is from RNAcentral.